GAAAUACAAUCCAUCUGGAAAAACGUUGCCCCUAACGGGCAAAUUGGUAGAUGAAUCCACAGCAGCCCCUAAAGAAGCUAACUUGUUAUUUUCAUGGGGACCAAUCGCAUCAUCAGCAGGUGCUACCCAACUCUCCUUGUAGACAAACCUUAGCGGUUUAUGUUUAAGAUCACUGUGUGAAAUCUCACGAAUAACAACUUUAUGAAACAAGGGAAAGACAAAAGACUUGGUCUUUU
Molecule: unclassified non-coding RNA, 236 nt
Filed under: Hevea brasiliensis (rubber tree)
Lineage: Eukaryota; Viridiplantae; Streptophyta; Magnoliopsida; Malpighiales; Euphorbiaceae
Source: RNAcentral